UUUUGGACAAUGGGCGCAAGCCUGAUCCAGCCAUUCCGCGUGAGUGAAGAAGGCCUUCGGGUUGUAAAGCUCUUUCGCAAGGGAAGAAAACUUACUUUUUAAUAAAGAGUGAGGUUGACGGUACCUUGAUAAGAAGCACCGGCUAACUACGUGCCAGCAGCCGCGGUAAUACGUAGGGUGCGAGCGUUAAUCGGAAUUACUGGGCGUAAAGCGUGCGCAGGCGGCUUUGUAAGUCAGAUGUGAAAUCCCCGAGCUCAACUUGGGAACUGCGUUUGAAACUACAAGGCUAGAAUAUGUCAGAGGGGGGUAGAAUUCCACGUGUAGCAGUGAAAUGCGUAGAGAUGGGAGGAAUACCAAGGCGAAGGCGGCCCCCUGGGGUGGAUUACGCUCCUGCACGAGG
This 400-nucleotide ribosomal RNA is filed under the name uncultured bacterium. RNAcentral's name for it is "bacterial SSU rRNA". It matches the Rfam family "Bacterial small subunit ribosomal RNA", at positions 362 to 758 of the family's 1533-position model. The record is from RNAcentral.